AAAAAGCAACACUUAUUUUUGUUCGUUCUUCUCUUCCUUCUUCCUUCUUCUUCCUCUACAUUACUAACCCCCUCGGCUUUGCCCUAGAUUUUCUCCGCCAUCGUAAUCCUUCAUCGAUUGCCUUCGAAUUCCUUUGCACGUAUCUAGGGUUUCCAUGGAUUCCGAGGACGAUAUGCACGACGCCACGAUGUGGAGUCACUCGACGAAGAUUUCUACAGUGGCGAGACCGAAGAAGCUCCCAUGGAUUACAAUGACUACGAUGACGAUGCCGAUGACUACUUCGACGAUGCUGAUGAUUCUGAUAGGAUUGAGUCUCGCCGCCAUGAGCAAAAUUUUACCAUAUUGAAGGAAUCGGAUAUUCAGCAAAGGCAGGAAGAUGACAUCACUAGAGUGGCAACCGUUCUUUCAAUAUCACGAGUUGCUGCGAGUAUCCUGCUUCGUCAUUACAAUUGGAGUGUUAGUAAAG
Arachis duranensis is the source of this 466-nucleotide long non-coding RNA. RefSeq lists it as uncharacterized. NCBI's taxonomy places the organism in Eukaryota, Viridiplantae, Streptophyta, Magnoliopsida, Fabales, Fabaceae. The record is from RefSeq and is a predicted model, not a curated record. The transcript has 3 exons.